Molecule: small nucleolar RNA, 73 nt
Organism: Megalops cyprinoides (Indo-Pacific tarpon)
Lineage: Eukaryota; Metazoa; Chordata; Actinopteri; Elopiformes; Megalopidae
Product: small nucleolar RNA SNORD61
Exons: 1
Source: RefSeq, a predicted model, not a curated record
GCAAUGAUGAAAACCUGGCAUUGAUCCAUUUGAGGUGAUUGAGCCAGUUUGUCCUCUAAGAAGUUCUGAGCUU